AUUGAACGCUGGCGGCAUGCUUUACACAUGCAGGUCGAACGGCAGCACGGGUGCUUGCACCUGGUGGCGAGUGGCGAACGGGUGAGUAAUGCAUCGGAACGUGCCCAUGAGUGGGGGAUAGCCCGGCGAAAGCCGGAUUAAUACCGCAUACGCCCUUAGGGGGAAAGCGGGGGAUCUUCGGACCUCGCGCUAUUGGAGCGGCCGAUGUCGGAUUAGCUAGUAGGUGAGGUAAAGGCUCACCUAGGCGACGAUCCGUAGCUGGUCUGAGAGGAUGAUCAGCCACACUGGGACUGAGACACGGCCCAGACUCCUACGGGAGGCAGCAGUGGGGAAUUUUGGACAAUGGGCGCAAGCCUGAUCCAGCCAUGCCGCGUGAGUGAAGAAGGCCUCGGUUGUAAG
Molecule: ribosomal RNA, 399 nt
Filed under: uncultured bacterium
Lineage: Bacteria
Description: bacterial SSU rRNA
Rfam family: Bacterial small subunit ribosomal RNA
Source: RNAcentral